This 468-nucleotide ribosomal RNA is filed under the name uncultured bacterium. Its description in RNAcentral is "partial 16S ribosomal RNA". It matches the Rfam family "Bacterial small subunit ribosomal RNA", at positions 28 to 507 of the family's 1533-position model. The record is from RNAcentral.
GACGAACGCUGGCGGCGUGCUUAACACAUGCAAGUCGAACGGAAAGGCCCUGCUUUUGUGGGGUGCUCGAGUGGCGAACGGGUGAGUAACACGUGAGUAACCUGCCCUUUACUUUGGGAUAACUUCAGGAAACUGGGGCGAAUACCGGAUAUGAGCUCCUGCUGCAUGGUGGGGGAUGGAAAGUUUCGGCGGUUGGGGAUGGACACGCGGCUUAUCGGCGUGUUGGUGGGGUAGUGGCUUACCAAGGCUCUGACGGGUAGCCGGACUGAGAGGGUGACCGGCCCCAUUGGGAUUGGGAUACCGCCCGGACUCCUACGGGAGGCAGCAGUGGGGGAUAUUGCACGAUGGGCGGAGGCCGGAUGCAGCAUCGCCGCGUGCGGGAUGACGGCCUUCGGGUUGUAAACCGCUUUCGCCUGUGACGAAGAGUGAGUGACGGUAAUGGGUAAAGAAGCACCGGCUAACUACGUG